This is a long non-coding RNA of Papaver somniferum (opium poppy), 631 nucleotides long. RefSeq lists it as uncharacterized. The record is from RefSeq and is a predicted model, not a curated record. Lineage: Eukaryota; Viridiplantae; Streptophyta; Magnoliopsida; Ranunculales; Papaveraceae. The transcript is spliced from 3 exons.
GUGGUAAUUUUGUAAUUUGUGGUGACUCUCGUCUUCUAUAAACAAAGCCAUUUUCCUCCAUUUCGACCUUGGAAGAAGAAAAUCAUUUAUCUGUCUGUUCUGAAAACCCUAGUCCAUAUUCAAAUUUCCAUCGCGUUGGAUUUUCAAGGAUGGCACUGACAGAUGCCGAAGCCCCCUUUAGGCCCAGAGAGCUUCUUCUAGAGAAGCAAAAGCUUUUCCAGAGCAUUCAAAAACACACACAUCUCAAAGGGAGAUAUGAUAAGCUCACUUCGGUCGCUAUCCCACUUGGAUUGGCAAUUGCUUGCGGAGGCAUGAUUGCUCAAGGGAUUUACAAUAUGUCUCAUGGGAUUGGGAAGAAGGAAUGAAGAUACAUAUCCUUGUCUGGCAGGAAAGACAUUGCUUGGUGCUGAAGAACUUCAUGUGCAUUUGGAUUGCAAUGUAGAUUUUUUUUAAUGUUUUGUUGAUUUCAUAUCCAAAUAAUGACAUGGUGUUGAACUACAAAUGCGAAUCAAAUUUAUGUCUUGUUGGUGUUUUUGGAUGCCCCAUAGGGCUCAUCAUACAUUUACAUGAUUAAGAAUGUUUGUUGAUCAGUUUUUGUGAAUGAGGCAAUCUUUACUUGCUAUUUCAGCAA